Molecule: long non-coding RNA, 1195 nt
Organism: Tachysurus vachellii
Lineage: Eukaryota; Metazoa; Chordata; Actinopteri; Siluriformes; Bagridae
Exons: 3
Source: RefSeq, a predicted model, not a curated record
UCAUCGGGCAUCAAGGCAGGAUACACCCGGGAUGGAGUGCCAACCCAUCACAGGGCACACACACACACACACACACUCUCAUUCACUCACACAAUCACACACUACGGACAAUUUUCCAGAGAUGCCAAUCAACCUACCAUGUGUGAGUGAGUGAGAGUAUAGUCUAUAGCAUUGUUGUUCUUAUAGUGUCUGGCCAACCAAAAUUACCCCAAGAUCGCAGCAAAGAUACAUCCAAGAUGUCACAAAAGACCCAACAACAACAUCCAAAGAACUGCAGGCCUCACUUGCCUCAGUUAAGGUCAGUGUUCAUGACUCCACCAUAAGAAGGAGACAGGGCAAAAAUGGCUCUGCAUGGCAGAGUUACAAGACUAAAGAACAUAAAGGCUCGUCUCAGAUUUGCCAGAAAACAUCUUGAUGAUCUCCAAGACUUUUAGGAAAAUACUUUGUGGACUGACGAGACAAAAGUUGAACUUUUUGGAAGGUUUGUGUCCCGUUACAUCUGACCUUCAUUUUUGCCCAGACUGCACCUACAUCUCACAGUCAGGAUUCCCCACUCCUUCAUUGUCGCAUUUCUCAAUCAUAGCAGCAGAAGAGAUUUUACAACUCAUCCGGUCCUGUAAUCCUACCACCUGCCCAUUGGAUCAACUCCCUUCCGCUAUGCUCCAGACCAUCUCGCAAGACCUUCUGACCUUCAUUACCGCUAUCAUCAAUAGAUCCAUAACAUCUGGUCAUGUACCAACUACCUCCAAGUGAGCAAGUGUUUUUCCCAUCCUAAAGAAACCUGCUCUGGAUCCAUCAGACAUCAAACAACCUCCAAGAUCCCAACAGUCUGGCUUUAAAGCAGCUCAUUCCACAGAGACAGCCCUUUAGGAUGUCUCUGAGAAACUACAUGCUGCUACAUCAGCCAAACUGUCAUCCGUCUUUAUCCUCCUUGACCUCUCAGCAGUGUUUGAUACGGUCAACCACAAGACUCUCUUGUCCACCCUCAGGAGUCUUGGGAUUUGAGGAUCAGCUUGGGAAUGGUUCACUUCCUACCUGGAAGGACGCUGAUAUCAGGUGAUAAGGCCCACAGAUGGACCCACACUGCAUUUCCUGUAGAAAAGGAAGUGCCCAAAUUCUGACAGCAGCAGGACAGGAAGUGCAGUACCACAGUGAGGUCACACCUCUGCUCUUCAUCUCAUCACUCUCUUCUCAC